AAGCUGCACGUCACAUAGAAUUAGUAUUGUUUCUUUUCUUUUCUAUUCUUUUUUUUUUUUUAUUUAUUUAUUUAAUGAGAAAAUAGUGUAACUAUGCUAGAGUGAAGAGUACUGUGAAUGGUACUGUCGAUAAAAAAAAAAAAGAAAAAAGGUUUCUUCAGUAUACCCUUUUCCUUUUUCACAAUAGUAAUGAUUACACCGUUUCUUUGUAAUUUAGUAUAACAUCACUUAUAAACAUUAGCGCGUAUUUAUGUGUUUGUAGAAUGUUAGAACAACCGACCAAGCCGAUACUCUGUCGUUUGGAAUUGCAUUAUUAGAUACUCAUCUACUAAUGGAAAUUGCAUAUUUUGAAGAAAAAAGGAAAAUACCUGACUUGAGUGUUAAAAAGUUGCUAUUCAAGCACUUUUUUCAUCAUCAUCACCAUUUCAUUUGAUACUCACUAUAGUCAUGCUGCUGUUCUCUGGACAUCUGUUUUUAAAGCUUUAGAAUGAUAUUAGAUUACAAAAAAUCUUUUUACUCCAGAGCUGUAGCAGAGCAUUUUGUUUUUUACUUAAGUUACAGAUUCCUCUUUUUCUUAAUAAAAUGAAAAGUCACCGAAAGGCUAACUUAUGGGAUGAUAACUUGCUUAACAGUCUUAAUAUGAUCUGAUGGACUUUAAAUUAAAAUGUCACAGUAAAGGACCCUAUAAAAUCGCUAUUUAACUAAUCAGAAGCAAGAAGAAUGUAGAUCCGUGUAACCUAUUGAAAAAUCUGCUAAUCAUCUGGUUAUAUAGAGGUUCAUAAACUUUAAGCUAAGAUUAUCCCAACAUGUCUUAAGGUAAUUAUACGUAAAUU
Long non-coding RNA from Stegodyphus dumicola, 833 nucleotides. The record is from RefSeq and is a predicted model, not a curated record. Lineage: Eukaryota; Metazoa; Arthropoda; Arachnida; Araneae; Eresidae.